CUCUGAGAAGGGGCAGGGGGCACAGGGGCACAUCACAGCCGCUCGACACAACGGCGCGCACAUCAACGCCUCCCCUCCCACCGCCGGUGGGCCGUCUCGCUUCCUCCAUUUCCGCUUUUCUCCAGCUUUUGCAGCGCGCCAUGCCGCCGACUCGGAGCCGUCCAGUCGCCCAUCUCAUGACGAGCACCCCACCGCCACUGGACGUCAACUUUGGAAGCUACCUCCCGCCCCGUCCGGUGACGUCCCCCAUGCGCCGGGGCUUUCGCGGUGGAUCUUCUUCUCGCGCCCACAUACUGCACGGUGACGGUUUGACGACCGCAGCGGAAGCAGGAAGGAACUCUAAGCAAGCCAAUGCUGGGCCUCUGACGGGCAGCACAUCGUCGCCCGCUUGCAACUCCUUCCCCUUUCCACCAAGCCGUACGGAGCACUCCGCCACCACCUCUGGUCGCGCUUCCGCAGCGCCAGCACCUCCACUCCACGGAGGUGCGGCACCGCCAUCGAUGAUGAGGUGCAGUAAUGGAAGCGGCCUUGCUGCUCCUUCUAGCGCCUCCCCACGCUCACACGAGGGGUGCCUGCCGUCCUGGAAGGGGUGUAGCGGUGCUUCUAGUUCCUUUGUGGAGGAUCGGGUGCGGUGCCUAGCGCACCCCGUAGGCGUGGCAUCACUGUUGCCGGCGCCCUUGCAGCGCAUCCUCGCCAAUGUGCUGCGCAUUCUCCAGCAAGAACGCGCGCAGCUGAAAGGGCAGCGCCCGUGUCGGCGGCACUCCCGGUCGCUUGGCACCGGCGUCGACGCAGAGGUCACCGAGUGCAUUGUGGAUGCUGCGCAGGCGCCGUCAUUGGUGGCUGCCGCAGACAUUUUUUCCGCCUUUGUUACUGCACACCCGAUGGACGGGCUCACGCUGCUCUCCUCUCCAGUUGUGCUGGCUGGUGCAGCGCUCGCUGAGGUCGUCACGCUUGGCCAGAUCGAGUCGUGCGCCAUACCCAUGCCAGAACUAUUGUCUUUUCUUGACGCAGCCAUCAGCGUAGGCCACCCGGGUGCGAUGCACUCUGUGGCCGUCUGCCUGCGCGAUGGCACAGCGGGCCUGCAGCGAGAUGCAACAUCGAGCGAGACGUGGUUGCGAUGCGCUGCCUCGUCAGGCUACCUUCCUGCCAUGCAUGAGCUCGGCGAGACCUACGAGCGUGGCGCACCCGCGUCUUCCAAGCUGCCGGCGGAGGCGGCCGAAGACGCCGCGGACUGGGGCGAGGCGAUGCGGUGGUAUCGACAGGCGGCAGAGGCCGGGUACCCACCAUCGCAGCUAAACUUGGGUAAGCUUCUCCUUGCAGCGACUGAGCACGCCCAAAGCGAUUGCUCCGCCGCUGCGCCACAGGUGGUGCAUCUUUUCACGGAGGCCACGCGCUGGCUUCACGCGUGCGCUGCAACCGGCGUAGAGGAGGCAGUGCGCCUUGUGAAGCGCAUCGAGGAGCAAGGUGCGCGCUAAGGGACCCUGCUGUGCACUCGGUAGGAUCGGUGGGGGGACUACCAUGGAGUUUCAUGUGUAUAUAUAUGUAGAGAGAGAGGUGCAACGGACGUGCUCAUUAUGGCUGUCUGUCCGCCAUCAUCUCGAUCUCGGUCUCUCCGCCCUGCUCGCUGCAUCAUCUUCCUCUUGGCGUAUUGUUCGUGGUGGUGCGUGCCCCUCUACCUGGCAGCUAACGGAGGCGUGCUUGCACGCGACGAGGGGGGAUGACGCAUGGCGAGAGGAGAGCGCCAAGCACGAUGUGUACUCAAGGGCUAUGAUGGCAUACGCGCAUACGUGUGGGCGUGCUUGUCUUCGCGUGACUGGCUGCCGCAAUUUCACGUCUCGCGUGCCCUCAAAGCAGGCUCAUUACUGCCUCUUGUUCUUCGUUGCCCACCUUUCCUUCCGUAACGCAG
This 1906-nucleotide unclassified non-coding RNA is filed under the name Leishmania donovani. RNAcentral describes it as "gene:LdHU3.07.1420(CDS-product:Sel1_repeat_putati ve)". The record is from RNAcentral. Lineage: Eukaryota; Euglenozoa; Kinetoplastea; Trypanosomatida; Trypanosomatidae.